AGAGUUUGAUCAUGGCUCAGGAUGAAUGCUGGCUGUAUGGAUAAGGCAUGCAAGUCGAACGGACCGCAAGGUCAGUGGCAGACGAGGUAGUAACACGUAGGUACGUACUCCCGAGUCCGGCAUAGCUCGUCGAAAGACGGGGUAAUUCCGGAUGGUCCCGCAAGGGUAAAGAUUUAUCGCUUGGGAAGCGGCCUGCGUAGUAUCAGCUAGUUGGUAAGGUAACGGCUUACCAAGGCUACGACGCUUAGGGGAGCUGAGAGGCUGACCCCCACCGAUGGGACUGAGACACGGCCCAUACUCCUACGGGAGGCCGCAGUCGAGAAUCUUCCGCAAUGGACGCAAGUCUGACGGAGCGAUACAGCGUGAUGGACGAAGUGCUUCGGUACGUAAACAUCUUUUAUGUGGGACGAAAUCAUUGACGGUACCACAUGAAUAAGGGGCUCCUAACUCUGUGCCAGCAGGAGCGGUAAUACAGAGGCCCCAAGCAUUAUCCGGAAUCACUGGGCGUAAAGGGUGUCAAGGCGGUCAUGUUAGUCGUUCGUUAAAUCCCUAGGCUCAACCUAGGACCUGCGAGCGAAACGGCAUGACUUGAGGUCGGGAGAGGUGCGUGGAACUCACGGUGUAGGGGUGAAAUCCGUUGAUAUCGUGGGGAACACCAAAGGCGAAGGCAGCGCACUGGCCCGAAUCUGACGCUCACACACGAAAGCCAGGGUAGCGAAUGGGAUUAGAUACCCCAGUAGUCC
Molecule: ribosomal RNA, 743 nt
Filed under: uncultured soil bacterium
Lineage: Bacteria
Description: bacterial SSU rRNA
Rfam family: Bacterial small subunit ribosomal RNA
Source: RNAcentral